AUGGGGAGCGCUGGAUCCUGGGCUGUGUCCCCAGCACUUUGGGCCCCAGCCUGUGCCACUGAAAUCACGCUCCCGGACCGCACAGCCCCCU
RNAcentral lists this microRNA precursor (91 nucleotides) under Canis lupus familiaris (dog). RNAcentral describes it as "mir-8799 microRNA precursor family". It matches the Rfam family "mir-8799 microRNA precursor family". The record is from Rfam by way of RNAcentral. Lineage: Eukaryota; Metazoa; Chordata; Mammalia; Carnivora; Canidae. RNAcentral also lists the same sequence under 1 other name.